Molecule: ribosomal RNA, 254 nt
Filed under: uncultured bacterium
Lineage: Bacteria
Description: partial 16S ribosomal RNA
Rfam family: Bacterial small subunit ribosomal RNA
Source: RNAcentral
CACGUAGGGUGCGAGCGUUGUCCGGAAUUAUUGGGCGUAAAGAGCUCGUAGGCGGUGUGUCGCGUCGGCCGUGAAAACCUGCAGCUUAACUGUGGGCGUGCGGUCGAUACGGGCAUCACUGGAGUUCGGCAGGGGAGACUGGAAUUCCUGGUGUAGCGGUGAAAUGCGCAGAUAUCAGGAGGAACACCGAUGGCGAAGGCAGGUCUCUGGGCCGAUACUGACGCUGAGGAGCGAAAGCGUGGGGAGCGAACAGG